ACUAUAUUCCACUGCGACAAAGAAAAGACCUGAUAUCGUCAGCUUCUACUAACCUUGCAAUUAUAUUCCACUGCAAAAAGAUAAGACCUGAUAUCACCAACUUCCUCAAAUUUCCUUAAGCCUCAGUAUGUCAUCAACCGUGUGUUGUUGAGGAUCGACCCAAGAGUCCCAAGCACGGCAAAGGCAAGCAGUGGGCUGACAUCGAGCGUGUCGAAGACCGGUGGAAUGAUGUUGCGAAAUAGGUUGAGGUACGGGUCGCAGAGGUCGCGGAUAGCCGAGAGGGGCUGGCGGUCCCAGGGGAUGUUGGGGAACCAACUGAGUAACACCCGGACCAUCAGGAUCCCGCUGUAGAUGUCAAGCCACUUAGCCAUGCCGGCGGCGACGACAGUGAGCGGCGUGUUGAGGUAGCCGCUCG
RNAcentral lists this unclassified non-coding RNA (415 nucleotides) under Hevea brasiliensis (rubber tree). The record is from RNAcentral. Lineage: Eukaryota; Viridiplantae; Streptophyta; Magnoliopsida; Malpighiales; Euphorbiaceae.